RNAcentral lists this ribosomal RNA (253 nucleotides) under uncultured bacterium. Its description in RNAcentral is "partial 16S ribosomal RNA". It matches the Rfam family "Bacterial small subunit ribosomal RNA", at positions 524 to 776 of the family's 1533-position model. The record is from RNAcentral.
UACGUAGGGGCCGAGCGUUGUCCGGAGUUAUUGGGCGUAAAGCGCGCGCAGGCGGCCUCGCGCGCCCGACGUGAAAGCCCCCGGCUUAACCGGGGAGGGUCGUUGGGGACGGCGGGGCUUGAGGGCGGGAGAGGUCGGUGGAAUUCCCGGUGUAGUGGUGAAAUGCGCAGAUAUCAGGAGGAACACCGGUGGCGAAGGCGGGUCUCUGGGCCGAUACUGACGCUGAGGAGCGAAAGCGUGGGGAGCGAACAGG